GCUACGUCACGGGCUUUGUGCCCUCAGCGCAGUCGUCAGUUUACUGAAUUCCUACAACCGGCCUCCCUUCCAAUGGCGCGCGGAAAAAAUCUUGCACACCUUCCCUUGAGGAAGGGAAAUGUCUGCUCCCACAAUUGAACCCUAGGAAAAAGAUGGAAAUAAUACCAGGAUUCAAAAUGCAAGGGGUGACUGAAAAAGGAGGCGCUCCUUUUCAUACAAGAGUUCCUGAAUUAACACAAGAAAGAAUGGAAGCAACACAAGAGCCAGGAACAGCAACUCCAGGAAUAAGGCCAUGGCUGGGGGAGGAAAAAAAGAAAAAAAAAAAACACAAAGGGAACAAAGACCUGCAUUAGAAUGUUUAGUGCAUGAACUUCUGAGGAAUAUAGGAAAACAAAACAAAACAAAAUAAAACAAUGUAAUGAUCUCAGUUAUUCCACGUUCAUUAAUAAUAUAACAAGAGAAGAUUUGUUACAAGAUGCCAAUAGAAUGAUAAUGGAUUCACCCAGAAGCAGCCCUUCAUAGGAUGUAAAGAACAAAAGGAGGUACUCGGUUGAAGCCUUUGAAGUACACCUAUAAAUGUGAAGUGCAUCUACAUACUACCCUAUUUUACCCUAGUUCCACAGUCUUGUCUAUGUAGCUCUUCCCUUCAGAUUCUAGGAAUGGCUUCUUCACAUUGCCUACUGAGGAGAAGUAUUAGCUCCCAACUGUUAGCAAUACUGGGAUACCACUGGAAUAGUCCUUGCUGGUUUCCUUAAAUUCUUCUUAAUCCUUCAUAAAUAUACCCUCAUUAAGAUCUCUUCAAAUUA
This is a long non-coding RNA of Neofelis nebulosa (Clouded leopard), 806 nucleotides long. RefSeq lists it as uncharacterized. The transcript is spliced from 2 exons. NCBI's taxonomy places the organism in Eukaryota, Metazoa, Chordata, Mammalia, Carnivora, Felidae. The record is from RefSeq and is a predicted model, not a curated record.